GACGCUACGGACUAAAAUCCGUUGGCUUUGUAGACCAUGAGGGUUCAAGUCCCUCUACCCCCA
RNAcentral lists this transfer RNA (63 nucleotides) under Thysananthus spathulistipus. RNAcentral describes it as "partial tRNA-Leu". The record is from RNAcentral. Lineage: Eukaryota; Viridiplantae; Streptophyta; Jungermanniopsida; Porellales; Lejeuneaceae.